This is a long non-coding RNA of Echinops telfairi (small Madagascar hedgehog), 1105 nucleotides long. RefSeq lists it as uncharacterized. NCBI's taxonomy places the organism in Eukaryota, Metazoa, Chordata, Mammalia, Afrosoricida, Tenrecidae. The record is from RefSeq and is a predicted model, not a curated record. The transcript has 2 exons.
ACACGCCAUAAUAAAAUGCUUCAGUAUGCCCUGACUUGGCUUCAGGCCAUUUCCCAUAUAGGAGUCAAUUUUAAUAAUCUUAAAAUCACUCAAAAGACUGAGGAGAAUCCAGCCACCUUUUUAAGCUGCUUAACUGCUGCUUUACAUUAAAAGCUUAAAAAGCAGAAGAAAGGCCCUCAAACCCAGGUCCGAGAUUUAGCGAAUAUGGCAUUUAAGGUUUUUUAACAGCCGUGAGGAGCAGGCAGCCAGUCCAUGAACCUGGUUCUGGCAGAAGGUAAAUUAUCAACCCAAGCCUUAGUAGCAGCCCUGCAGCUGGGGAGGCCCCAGAAGGGCAGCGUGGGGCAAGGGUGCAUGGGAACAAGGACCACCACCUGGUGCCUGCUUCAAAUGCAGGGAAGGGCCCUGGUCACAGGAGUGCCCCAGGGCAGGAGCUCCAACCAAACCCUGCCCAGCGUGCUGUCAAAGCAGACACUGGAAGGCCGACUGUCCUGGGAAAAGUGACAGGCCCUUUGUGUCUCCACGUGGGGGGACUGUCCUUCCAAUUCCUGACCGCUGUUGGCCCUGCUGGGAUUGGCCGAAGUCUGAAGAGACCCUGACUGGACCCCCAUCACCCUCGCUGAGCCUGGGGCAUUGCUCAAGGUAUUGGCUCUAUCUCCAACCUGACCUUCAAUCAGCUUCUUCACCCUUACAGUCCGCUGCCGACUGGCCCGGCCCCCAAACCUUCCACCUAUCUCAGCAGGAAGUAAUUAAGACAGAAAAACAUUGCCCCAUUUCCAAUAUUAAGAAGUUUGGAAUGUUGGGUCGGGUCUGAACUAGGCAGCCCCAGUUUGGACUAAGCUGAAGCAGGUUUGGGCCCUGCAAGUGCUUCCUUCCCUGCAUGUCCCAGAGGUCAGCAGCAGUGGGUGCCAGUGAAACCUGAUGUUCCUGGUUCAAAGAAAACCUCCUGGAGUUGACAGGCAACUCUCCCAGUUUCCAGACCCCAUAUGCUAAUUGCCAUACAUUCCUCACCACCCCUUUAAAAACCCUGGCCCCCAGCUGCUGAGCAGGACUUCCCUAGUCUGGGAGCUCCCCUAGCCCCUAAUAAAGCUACUUUCUGUUUCUGCUC